UCAAACUUGGUCAUUUAGAGGAAGUAAAAGUCGUAACAAGGUUUCCGUAGGUGAACCUGCGGAAGGAUCAUUACCGAGCUCGGCCCCCCCUUCCGGGGCGGGUCACGACCUCUCACCCUUGCGUACCAGCCCCAUCUUCGUUGCUUUGGCGGGCCGCCCCUGUGGGCGCCGGCGGAAACGCUGGAGCGCGCCCGCCAAAGGCCCACACAACGCGAACCUCAGGGUGCCGUUACACGUCUGAACCUACAUGCAAACAUGUCAAAACUUUCAACAACGGAUCUCUUGGUUCUAGCAUCGAUGAAGAACGCAGC
RNAcentral lists this unclassified non-coding RNA (311 nucleotides) under uncultured fungus. RNAcentral's name for it is "partial contains small subunit ribosomal RNA, internal transcribed spacer 1, and 5.8S ribosomal RNA". The stretch from base 1 to 73 matches the Rfam family "Eukaryotic small subunit ribosomal RNA", at positions 1759 to 1831 of the family's 1831-position model. The record is from RNAcentral. Lineage: Eukaryota; Fungi.